UACGUAGGGCGCAAGCGUUGUCCGGAAUUAUUGGGCGUAAAGAGCUCGUAGGCGGUCUGUCGCGUCUGCCGUGAAAACCCGAGGCUUAACCUCGUGGCUUGCGGUGGAUACGGGCAGACUAGAGGUAGGUAGGGGAGAAUGGAAUUCCCGGUGUAGCGGUGAAAUGCGCAGAUAUCGGGAGGAACACCGGUGGCGAAGGCGGUUCUCUGGGCCUUACCUGACGCUGAGGAGCGAAAGCGUGGGGAGCGAACGGG
RNAcentral lists this ribosomal RNA (254 nucleotides) under uncultured bacterium. RNAcentral's name for it is "partial 16S ribosomal RNA". It matches the Rfam family "Bacterial small subunit ribosomal RNA", at positions 524 to 776 of the family's 1533-position model. The record is from RNAcentral.